GUGCUUGCUUUGGCAGCGUAUAUACUAAAAAUGGAAUGAUACAGAGAAGAUUAGCAUGGCUGUGGUGCAAGGAUGAUAUGCAAAUUUGUGAAAAGACUGCCCUUUCC
Small nuclear RNA from Ailuropoda melanoleuca (giant panda), 107 nucleotides. The record is from Ensembl. NCBI's taxonomy places the organism in Eukaryota, Metazoa, Chordata, Mammalia, Carnivora, Ursidae.